Molecule: long non-coding RNA, 1770 nt
Organism: Dama dama (fallow deer)
Lineage: Eukaryota; Metazoa; Chordata; Mammalia; Artiodactyla; Cervidae
Exons: 3
Source: RefSeq, a predicted model, not a curated record
UGCCGCGGCUGUCAUCCACCGGGUACGGGAGCGAGAGUCGCAGCCGGUAGUCGGGCUUCCUUGAGUCAAGGCAUAGCAGCUUCCCCGUCACCUCCAGCGCCGCCUGCUCGGCCGAUCGCAGCAACGGCAGCUCGAUGAUGAGAAGAUGAGACCUGAAAAGUUACCUCACCAAAGUCACACAGUCGAUGCACCACCCAGCAGUCACAAACUGACUCUACAGAAAUAUAUAUAAGAAACUAUUAAUCAUGAUUUCAGGAUUACGAAGUAGAGGUAUGUUUUCUUUCUCUAUUUUAUACUUUUAAGCAUUGUUUGAAAUUUUUAUCAUGUAUUUGUGCUUUUAUUUAAAUAAAUUUGUUAAUUACAAAAAGUAAAAAAAGGUUGAGUGUCAAGAUUAUAUUCUCUAACGAGAACCUGGAGGUAUUUGGUUACUGUUCUUAACUGGUGGGAAACAAAAUACAAUUAAUGGAGAAAUCACAUGUUAGGAUGCCUGCAUCUAAGGGAAACUGUUAAAGAUGCACAUUUCUGGGUACUACAACUGGAGAGACAUUUAAUAACGCUGGGGUGGGAUCUUGUAAUGUAACACUUUUAACAUGGACCUCAGAGGAUUCUCAUGCAUGUGGUCUAUAGGACACCCCCUGAAAACUACUACCCACUGGGUAAUUAUUCUUUUUUCCUCAGGAUCUCCCGACACCAACAAUUCUUUCCUACCAAUUUAAGGCAGAUUACCUGGGAUUUGAGUGGCUCAGCUGGUAAAGAAUCCGCCUGCAAUACGGGAGACCUGGGAUUGACCCCUGGGUUUGGAAGAUCCCCUGAAGAAGGGAAAGGCUACCCCCCUCGGCGCCCCCCCCCCCCCAAGUAUUCUGGCCUGGAGAAUUCCAUGGACUAUAUAGUCCAUGGGGUCUCAAAGAGUCAGACUUGGUUGAGGGACUUUCACAUGUGGAAGGCAAGCCUGCCCUUUCGGAAUAAUAACCUCAUCACAAAUCAGCCUGUAAAAGAACUAGCCCAGCCCCACAGCCAAUCUGAGAUUUCCCGCAGAAAACAGUUCUUGGUCUGUUUCAUACAAAUGUGCCAUCAAGUACAUACAAUUCUGUGUCACACAGCAUGAACACAGUAAGUUCAGCCUAGAACAUUACCAAUGAGCUACUAUAGUCAUUUUUAAAAACCUCAGCACACCUUCAGAACAUCUGAUUUUUAGCAGUAUUAUGCCAAGAGACAGCUGUUUAUGAAGGCACACUUACCUAUCUUCUACUAUCUUAUUGGAAGGAUAAAAAACUUUGAAUGAAAAUCCACUUCUUGGAAAAGAGCCCUUUGGAGAGAAAAAUGCCCAUCAGUGAAUACUCAACUUUUGAAAAAAAAGAACCCCUAUUUUUAAAAUCAAAUUCCUUGCUCGUGGCUUAAAGAUGAAGGUACAAGAUGUGACUAUAAAGUAAUGAGACAAAUUUCUGCAUGCUCUUUAUAGAGCAAAAAUAUUACUAUAAAGUAUCUCCACUAGAAGGAAAAAGUAAAGUUGACCAGAAUAGUCAUGCUAAAAAAAUGUGGCCAGAAAUGCUUAGGAGUGGGUCUACUUGGUAUAAGAAAUAAGCAGUACUGAAUGAUGCUUAGUAAGCAUAUAAGACACUCAAACAUCAUGUUCGAGAAAUCUUUCCUGCCGCUCUCCCCAGUGAAAAUCUGGGAUUGAUGCCCCGCCAUGGUCCCCUCAAUGCAACAGAGCAGGGUCACAUAUACAACUGUCCAUUACUAAACUAAAUAAAGCAGACUCUUGUCUUUUCA